AGCAGCCGCGGUAAUUCCAGCUCCAAUAGCGUAUAUUAAAGUUGUUGCAGUUAAAAAGCUCGUAGUUGAAUUUCGGGGUCAGCAGGUUGGUCGUGCCACUGGUAUGCACUGGCUUCGCUGAUUCCUCCUUCUUGAAGAACUGUAAUGUCAUUAAUUUGGUGUUGCAGGGAAACAGGACUGUUACUCUGAAAAAAUUAGAGUGUUUAAAGCAGGCAUUAGCUUGAAUACAUUAGCAUGGAAUAAUGAAAUAGGACGUUUGACCCUAUUUUGUUGGUUUCUAGGAUCGACGUAAUGAUUAAUAGGGAUAGUUGGGGGCAUUAGUAUUCAAUUGUCAGAGGUGAAAUUCUUGGAUUUAUUGAAGACUAACUACUGCGAAAGCAUUUGCCAAGGAUGUUUUCAUUAAUCAAGAACGAAAGUUAGGGGAUCGAAGACGAUCAGAUACCGUCGUAGUCUUAACCAUAAACUAUGCCGACUAGGGAUCGGAUGAUGUUAUUUUUAAUGACUCAUUC
Molecule: ribosomal RNA, 509 nt
Filed under: uncultured Glomus
Lineage: Eukaryota; Fungi; Glomeromycota; Glomeromycetes; Glomerales; Glomeraceae
Description: SSU rRNA
Rfam family: Eukaryotic small subunit ribosomal RNA
Source: RNAcentral